CGNNUNCCNGGCUACCANGCAACNUCGUAGCGGCAGCGNGNANAGGUAUACAUUGCUUACCUUUUGCCGUGCGUAGCGGCGGACGGGUGUAGAUAAUGCCUGCGGGUAUCUGCCCAGNUCGAGGGGGAUAACAGNUUGNAAACGACUUGCUAAUACCGCAUACNCCCUACGGGGGAAAGGAGGGGACCUUCGGGCCUUUCGCGAUUGGAUGAACCCAGGUGGGAUUAGCUAGUUGGUGGGGUAAUGGCUCACCAAGGCGACGAUCCCUAGCUGGUCUGAGAGGAUGAUCANCCACACUGGAACUGAGACACGGUCCAGACUCCUACGGGAGGCAGCAGUGGGGAAUAUUGCACAAUGGGGGAAACCCUGAUGCAGCCAUGCCGCGUGUGUGAAGAAGGCCUUCGGGUUGUAAAGCACUUUCAGCGAGGAGGAAAGGUUGAUGCCUAAUACGUAUCANCUGUGACGUUACUCGCANAAGAAGCACCGGCUAACUCCGUGCCAGCAGCCGCGGUAAUACGGAGGGUGCAAGCGUUAAUCGGAAUUACUGGGCGUAAAGCGCACGCAGGCGGUUGGAUAAGUUAGAUGUGAAAGCCCCGGGCUCAACCUGGGAAUUGCAUUUAAAACUGUCCAGCUAGAGUCUUGUAGAGGGGGGUAGAAUUCCAGGUGUAGCGGUGAAAUGCGUANAGAUCUGGAGGAAUACCGGUGGCGAAGGCGGCCCCCUGGACAAAGACUGACGCUCAGGUGCGAAAGCGUGGGGAGCAAACAGGAUUANAUACCCUGGUAGUCCACGCCGUAAACGAUGUCNAUUUGNAGGCUGUGUCCUUGAAACGUGGCUUCCGG
Molecule: ribosomal RNA, 840 nt
Filed under: Aeromonas sp.
Lineage: Bacteria; Pseudomonadati; Pseudomonadota; Gammaproteobacteria; Aeromonadales; Aeromonadaceae
Description: partial 16S ribosomal RNA
Rfam family: Bacterial small subunit ribosomal RNA
Source: RNAcentral